UACGUAGGGUGCAAGCGUUGUCCGGAAUUAUUGGGCGUAAAGAGCUCGUAGGCGGUCUGUCGCGUCGGCUGUGAAAACUCGGGGCUCAACCCCGAGCCUGCAGUCGAUACGGGCAGACUAGAGUGCUGUAGGGGAGACUGGAAUUCCUGGUGUAGCGGUGAAAUGCGCAGAUAUCAGGAGGAACACCGGUGGCGAAGGCGGGUCUCUGGGCAGUAACUGACGCUGAGGAGCGAAAGCAUGGGGAGCGAACAGG
This 253-nucleotide ribosomal RNA is filed under the name uncultured bacterium. RNAcentral's name for it is "partial 16S ribosomal RNA". It matches the Rfam family "Bacterial small subunit ribosomal RNA", at positions 524 to 776 of the family's 1533-position model. The record is from RNAcentral.